UACGUAGGGUGCAAGCGUUAAUCGGAAUUACUGGGCGUAAAGCGUGCGCAGGCGGUUUUGUAAGUUUGUCGUGAAAUCCCCGGGCUCAACCCGGGAACUGCGUCCGAUACUGGAAGGCUUGAAUCCGGGAGAGGGAUGCGGAAUUCCAGGUGUAGCGGUGAAAUGCGUAGAUAUCUGGAGGAACACCGGUGGCGAAGGCGGCAUCCUGGACCGGUAUUGACGCUGAGGCGCGAAAACCAGGGGAGCAAACGGGG
This 254-nucleotide ribosomal RNA is filed under the name uncultured bacterium. Its description in RNAcentral is "partial 16S ribosomal RNA". It matches the Rfam family "Bacterial small subunit ribosomal RNA", at positions 524 to 777 of the family's 1533-position model. The record is from RNAcentral.